RNAcentral lists this unclassified non-coding RNA (586 nucleotides) under Hevea brasiliensis (rubber tree). Lineage: Eukaryota; Viridiplantae; Streptophyta; Magnoliopsida; Malpighiales; Euphorbiaceae. The record is from RNAcentral.
GCCAGGAGUUCGGAUGCACUUGAGGGAUGCAAACUUAGUGGUACUUCAGGAUGUCCUUGUGAAAUUGCUCCAGAGGAAACUGCAGCCCUACCUUUAAUUGUUUUUCGUACACUAUAAUCAGCUCUCCCUCCUUGAAGAAGUGAUCGGCUAAAGAUCCCCAUGACUCCGAAUAAGCUCGAAUGAGUCCGUCGGAAGAUUGAACUCCUGCCUUAUUAGUUCAAGAUCGGACAUCCCAAGGAAUGAGGGGAGCUCGUCCACGAGUAGAGGCUCCCUCCUCACAACCGGAGCCCGCUGUUGGCUCAAUCUAGUGGGCUAACUAGUGGUCGGAACAAUAGCUGUAACAGUUUUAGAUCUUUCACUCAGUCCGGCCUCAUCACCUUCAUCGGAGGACCAAGAAAUGUGAACAGAGGGCGGGUUUGCAACUCUCUGACCGUUGGUUCCGCUCAUUUUCAGGCAGUGAAGGCAAAAGUUACCAAAAAAAGAUCAAAACUAUUACCUGAGCAUAAAUCAGUGCCGAAAAAGCUAGGAAAUUGAGAGAGAGUCAUCAAAAGACUUAAGGGGAAUUGAGAAAGCAAAAGUGAAAAAU